RNAcentral lists this ribosomal RNA (1344 nucleotides) under metagenome. RNAcentral's name for it is "bacterial LSU rRNA". It matches the Rfam family "Bacterial large subunit ribosomal RNA", at positions 1564 to 2925 of the family's 2925-position model. The record is from RNAcentral.
UGAGUGCGAGCUGCUACGGCAGCGAAGUUGGUGAUGUCAUGCUUCCAAGAAAAGCCCUAUACCCGUUAAGGCAUCAUGGCCUGUACCCGAAACCGACACAGGUGGGGUGGUAGAGAAUACCGAGGGGCGCGAGGUAACUCUCUCUAAGGAACUCGGCAAAAUGGCCCCGUAACUUCGGGAGAAGGGGUGCCACCGCAAGGUGGUCGCAGUGAAGAGGCCCAGGCGACUGUUUACCAAAAACACAGGUCUCCGCUAAGUCGCAAGACGAUGUAUGGGGGCUGACGCCCCCCAGUGCCGGAAGGUUAAGGAAGCUGGUCAGCGCAAGCGAAGCUAGCGACUGAAGCCCCGGUGAACGGCGGCCGUAACAAUAACGGUCCUAAGGUAGCGAAAUUCCUUGUCGGGUAAGUUCCGACCCGCACGAAAGGCGUAACGAUCUGGGCGCUGUCUCGGAGAGAGGCUCGGCGAAAUAGAAUUGUCUGUGAAGAUGCGGACUACGUGCACCCGGACAGAAAGACCCUAUGAAGCUUUACUGUAGCUUGGUAUUGUGCCCGGGCUCGCAAUGCGCAGGAUAGGUGGGAGGCUUUGAUCAUCGGCUUGCGGGUCGAUGUGAGCCAACGGUGAGAUACCACUCUUUGCGAGCUAGGGUUCUAACGGCCACCCGUCAUCCGGGGGCCGGACAGUACCUGGUGGGCAGUUUGACUGGGGCGGUCGCCUCCUAAAAGGUAACGGAGGCGCGCAAAGGUUUGCUCAGGCUGGUUGGAAAUCAGCCGACGAGUGUAAAAGCAGAAGCAAGCUUGACUGUGAGACCAACAAGUCGAACAGGGAGGAAACUCGGCUUUAGUGAUCCGACGGUUCUGAGUGGAAGGGCCGUCGCUCAGCGGAUAAAAGUUACUCUAGGAUAACAGGCUGAUCUCCCCCAAGAGUUCACAUCGACGGGGAGGUUUGGCACCUCGAUGUCGGCUCAUCGCAACCUGGGGCUGAAGUCGGUCCCAAGGGUUGGGCUGUUCGCCCAUUAAAGCGGUACGCGAGCUGGGUUCAGAACGUCGUGAGACAGUUCGGUCCAUAUCCGGUGCACGCGCAGGAAUAUUGAGAGGAUUUCUCCCUAGUACGAGAGGACCGGGAGGAACGCACCUCUGGUGUACCAGUUAUCGUGCCAACGGUAAACGCUGGGUAGCCAUGUGCGGAGUGGAUAACCGCUGAAAGCAUCUAAGUGGGAAGCCCACCUCAAGAUGAGUAUUCCCAUGGCGUAAGCCAGUAAGGUCACGGGAAGAACACCCGUUGAUAGGCUCUAUGUGGAAGCGCAGUAAUGCGUGAAGCAGAGGAGUACUAAUAGACCGAGGGCUU